This 775-nucleotide ribosomal RNA is filed under the name uncultured Neocallimastigales. RNAcentral describes it as "partial large subunit ribosomal RNA". It matches the Rfam family "Eukaryotic large subunit ribosomal RNA", at positions 23 to 647 of the family's 3401-position model. The record is from RNAcentral. Lineage: Eukaryota; Fungi; Neocallimastigomycota; Neocallimastigomycetes; Neocallimastigales.
AUAGAGACUCAGAGCUGCAUAUCAAUAAGCGGAGGAAAAGAAACUAACAAGGAUUCCCUUAGUAACGGCGAGUGAAGCGGGAAGAGCUCAAAUUUGAAAUCUUCAAGGUUCUACCUUGACGAAUUGUAGUUUAUAGAAGUGUUUUCUGUUAGUAGAGUGGCAAAAGUUCUCUGGAAUAGGACAUCAUAGAGGGUGAGAAUCCCGUAUUUGGUCAUUCCUUCUAGCUUUGUGAUACACUUUCAAAGAGUCGGAUUGUUUGGGAAUGCAGUCCAAAAUGGGUGGUAAAUUUCAUCUAAAGCUAUAUAUUGGCGAGAGACCGAUAGCGAACAAGUACCGUGAGGGAAAGAUGAAAAGAACUUUGAAAAGAGAGUUAAACAGUACGUGAAAUUGUCAAAAGGGAAGCGUUUGACACCAGUGUUGUUUUUCCGAAAAUCAAUUAUAAAUGUUUGUUUCUGAGGAGUGUAUGACUUCAUCGGCUUCCUGCUCGUCUUCACUACUGUUUGUGAAUGCACUUUUCGGUUAACAAGUCAACAUCAAUUUCUUUUGUUGUAAAAGGGUAUGAGGAAGGUGGCUUUCUUUUCGGAGAAAGUGUUUAUAGCCUUGUACCUCUGCAAUCGGAGAGAUUGAGGUCUGCAGCGUAGAUCCUUCGGGGUUAGAUACAUUUGUGCUAAGUUAUAGCUUUUCAUAGACAACUUGUUGACUAUGUUAAGUCUUGUAGCUUACUUGCUUAUGCUAUUUUACCUACGCUUAGGAUGUUGACGAGACUGUCGAUCUC